UGGCAAUGAUGUAUGAAUUUCUUAAACUGAACAUGUUCCUUUGUGAGCUUUUUAACCCUGAACCAA
Molecule: small nucleolar RNA, 66 nt
Organism: Salvelinus fontinalis (brook trout)
Lineage: Eukaryota; Metazoa; Chordata; Actinopteri; Salmoniformes; Salmonidae
Source: RefSeq, a predicted model, not a curated record